UCACGUGUGCCCCCAUGUCCUCAUCACUGUC
This 31-nucleotide non-coding RNA is filed under the name Homo sapiens (human). Lineage: Eukaryota; Metazoa; Chordata; Mammalia; Primates; Hominidae. The record is from RNAcentral.